GUUUCACGGGAGUUAUCGAUUUUUGCAAUACCAAAUUUUCUUCUUGAUAUAAUUUCGGCAUCCUCUGGUUAAUUCUAAUUUUUUUUUUAGUAGCUACGAAUUUAUGCAAUUUUUUGAGAUAAUAAUUGUGUUUCUUUGAGUUAAAUGAUCCCUUGGGUUGGAUUUUUAAAGAAAUUUUACAAAUUUUUAGUUGAAGCUAAUUCUCUCUGCCAACCCCUUUCUCCGAGUUUUCAUUUUUAUGAUGUAUUUGUCUAUUUUCUUGGAUUUUUCAACUAAAUACUAUAUUUUUCACAGCCAUAUAUUUUCCCUGUAAUUACUGCAUACCGUAGGAAUAAUACCCUUUUUAUUUAGUCUUUGACUGUAACAGCGUAAACUGGCCUCAUUCUUGUCUGAACAUACUUCUGGAGUAAACAUAGAAUGGUGCUUCCUGUAGCUAGGAUUUUUCAAAAUUUAUGAGGCAGAAAAAUGUCAUCAAAAUUUUUGCCAAAGUUUAGUUUUAUGUGCAUAUUAUGCAUUUACUGACAUGUGCUGUGUUCUCGUAAUGGAAUGUGGUGUAGAGGCUUGGUAGGAAAUGUCAUUAAGAUGCAAAAUUAUUAUAAGCAUCAAGAGUUUUUAAGGAUGUCAUUUCCCCCACUUAAUUCUAAUUUGAAAUUGGUGAUGACUUCCUUCUUAACAUUUUGUUUGUAGGAGUGACAGUUCAUCUGACAGU
RNAcentral lists this unclassified non-coding RNA (709 nucleotides) under Hevea brasiliensis (rubber tree). The record is from RNAcentral. Lineage: Eukaryota; Viridiplantae; Streptophyta; Magnoliopsida; Malpighiales; Euphorbiaceae.